RNAcentral lists this small RNA (32 nucleotides) under Bombyx mori (domestic silkworm). RNAcentral describes it as "ovarian small RNA-34817". Lineage: Eukaryota; Metazoa; Arthropoda; Insecta; Lepidoptera; Bombycidae. The record is from RNAcentral.
UGGCCGGUGCUUUGUGCUCCUGAGGGAGCGGG